RNAcentral lists this ribosomal RNA (771 nucleotides) under uncultured bacterium. RNAcentral's name for it is "partial 16S ribosomal RNA". It matches the Rfam family "Bacterial small subunit ribosomal RNA", at positions 1 to 740 of the family's 1533-position model. RNAcentral also lists the same sequence under 1 other name. The record is from RNAcentral.
GGCCGCGGGAAUUCGAUUGGAUCGCCCUUAGAGUUUGAUCAUGGCUCAGAACGAACGCUGGCGGCGCGUUUUAAGCAUGCAAGUCGAGCGGCAAGGGCCUUCGGGCCCCUAGAGCGGCGGACGGGUGAGUAACACGUGGACAAUCUGCCCCCCGGCCGGGGAUAGCCCAGGGAAACCUGGAUUAAUACCGGAUGAGACGGGACCCGCGAUGGCGGGAUCCGGGAAAGGCGCUACGGCGCCGCCGGGGGAUGAGUCUGCGUCCCAUUAGCUAGACGGCGGGGUAACGGCCCACCGUGGCGACGAUGGGUAGCCGGCCUGAGAGGGUGGACGGCCACAUUGGAACUGAGACACGGUCCAGACUCCUACGGGAGGCAGCAGCUAAGAAUCUUCCGCAAUGGGCGAAAGCCUGACGGAGCGACGCCGCGUGAACGAAGAAGGCCGUGAGGUUGUAAAGUUCUUUUCGGGAGGGGGAACAACCGUGGCAGGGAAUGGCCGCGGGAUGACGUGAAUCCCGGAAUAAGCCCCGGCUAACUACGUGCCAGCAGCCGCGGUAACACGUAGGGGGCGAGCGUUGUUCGGAAUCAUUGGGCGUAAAGGGCGUGCAGGCGGCCCUGCAAGUCCGGCGUGAAAGACCCCGGCCCAACCGGGGGGACGCGCUGGAAACUGCAGGGCUUGAAUACAGGAGGGGAUGCCGGAAUUCCAGGUGUAGGGGUGAAAUCUGUAGAUAUCUGGAAGAACACCAAUGGCGAAGGCAGGCAUCUGGCCAUGUAU